Molecule: long non-coding RNA, 232 nt
Filed under: Elaeis guineensis (African oil palm)
Lineage: Eukaryota; Viridiplantae; Streptophyta; Magnoliopsida; Arecales; Arecaceae
Description: long non-coding RNA (EGUI_LNC042946)
Source: RNAcentral
UGGAGAGGAGGUGUGUGUUGUGACUAUGCCUCAACAAUGGGUAAUCAGGUUGAGGAUCAACAUGUGGACUUUCUACAUGUUGCUUCUGGAUAGACUGUAGGUCUUGAACUUUCUCAAGUUCAACUAUCCUCCCAUUGCUCUCUUCUUGGAUGAACUCUCUUCAAGAAAGUGGCAUACCUACUAACAAACAUCUUUUAUUGAGUAUAAUGGUAGAUGUAAUAUCCUAUACUCU